UCAGGCCUAACACAUGCAAGUCGAGCGGUAGCAGGAAGUGCUUGCACUUCGCUGACGAGCGGCGGACGGGUGCGUAACACAUAGGAAUCUGCCUGGUAGUGGGGGAUAGCCCGGAGAAAUCCGGAUUAAUACCGCAUACGCCCUACGGGGGAAAGGAGGGGACUCUUCGGAGCCUUUCGCUAUCAGAUGAGCCUGCGUCGGAUUAGCUUGUUGGUGGGGUAAAGGCCUACCAAGGCGACGAUCCGUAGCUGGUCUGAGAGGAUGAUCAGCCACACUGGGACUGAGACACGGCCCAGACUCCUACGGGAGGCAGCAGUGGGGAAUAUUGCACAAUGGGCGAAAGCCUGAUGCAGCCAUGCCGCGUGUGUGAAGAAGGCCCUAGGGUUGUAAAGCACUUUCAGUGGGAGGAAAGGUUGAAGGUUAAUACCCUUCAGCUGUGACGUUACCCACAGAAGAAGCACCGGCUAACUCCGUGCCAGCAGCCGCGGUAAUACGGAGGGUGCGAGCGUUAAUCGGAAUUACUGGGCGUAAAGCGUGCGUAGGCGGCCACCUAAGUUGGAUGUGAAAGCCCCGGGCUCAACCUGGGAACUGCAUCCAAAACUGGGUGGCUAGAGUACGGGAGAGGAGUGUGGAAUUUCCUGUGUAGCGGUGAAAUGCGUAGAUAUAGGAAGGAACACCAGUGGCGAAGGCGACACUCUGG
This 700-nucleotide ribosomal RNA is filed under the name uncultured bacterium. Its description in RNAcentral is "bacterial SSU rRNA". It matches the Rfam family "Bacterial small subunit ribosomal RNA", at positions 42 to 732 of the family's 1533-position model. The record is from RNAcentral.